GAUGAACGCUGCCAGAAUGCUUAACACAUGCAAGUCUUUGGCGAAGCUGUGCUUGCACCGCCUAGCCAAGGCGGACGGGUGAGUAACGCGUAAGGAACUUGCCCUGCAGUCAGGGAUAACAGACGGAAACGACUGAUAAGACCUGGUAAAGUCAGGCGGACUCAUGUCCAGCCUGAUGAAAAGAGAUGCUGCAGGAGAGCCUUGCGUCCUAUUAGCUUGUUGGUGGGGUAACGGCCCACCAAGGCGAUGAUAGGUAGCCGGCCUGAGAGGGUGGACGGCCACAAGGGGACUGAGAUACGGCCCUUACUCCUACGGGAGGCAGCAGUGGGGAAUAUUGGACAAUGGGGGCAACCCUGAUCCAGCAAUUCUGUGUGCACGAUGAAGGUUUUCGGAUUGUAAAGUGCUUUCAGCAGGGAAGAAAAAAAUGACGGUACCUGCAGAAGAAGCGACGGCUAAAUACGUG
Molecule: ribosomal RNA, 463 nt
Filed under: uncultured bacterium
Lineage: Bacteria
Description: partial 16S ribosomal RNA
Rfam family: Bacterial small subunit ribosomal RNA
Source: RNAcentral